RNAcentral lists this ribosomal RNA (590 nucleotides) under Arthrobacter sp. PF3B6. Its description in RNAcentral is "bacterial SSU rRNA". It matches the Rfam family "Bacterial small subunit ribosomal RNA", at positions 895 to 1481 of the family's 1533-position model. The record is from RNAcentral. Lineage: Bacteria; Bacillati; Actinomycetota; Actinomycetes; Micrococcales; Micrococcaceae.
UAAAACUCAAAGGAAUUGACGGGGGCCCGCACAAGCGGCGGAGCAUGCGGAUUAAUUCGAUGCAACGCGAAGAACCUUACCAAGGCUUGACAUGAACCGGAAAUACCUGGAAACAGGUGCCCCGCUUGCGGUCGGUUUACAGGUGGUGCAUGGUUGUCGUCAGCUCGUGUCGUGAGAUGUUGGGUUAAGUCCCGCAACGAGCGCAACCCUCGUUCUAUGUUCCCAGCGCGUGAUGGCGGGGACUCAUAGGAGACUGCCGGGGUCAACUCGGAGGAAGGUGGGGACGACGUCAAAUCAUCAUCCCCCUUAUGUCUUGGGCUUCACGCAUGCUACAAUGGCCGGUACAAAGGGUUGCGAUACUGUGAGGUGGAGCUAAUCCCAAAAACCCGGUCUCAGUUCGGAUUGGGGUCUGCAACUCGACCCCAUGAAGUCGGAGUCGCUAGUAAUCGCAGAUCAGCAACGCUGCGGUGAAUACGUUCCCGGGCCUUGUACACACCCCCCGUCAAGUCACGAAAGUUGGUAACACCCGAAGCCGGUGGCCUAACCCCUUGUGGGAGGGAGCUGUCGAAGGUGGGACUGGCGAUUGGGAG